UCUUGGACAAUGGGCGAAAGCCUGAUCCAGCCAUGCCGCGUGAGUGACGAAGGUCUUCGGAUUGUAAAGCUCUUUUACCAGGGACGAUAAUGACGGUACCUGGAGAAUAAGCCCCGGCUAACUUCGUGCCAGCAGCCGCGGUAAUACGAAGGGGGCUAGCGUUGUUCGGAAUUACUGGGCGUAAAGCGCACGUAGGCGGACCUAUAAGUCAGGGGUGAAAUCCCGGGGCUCAACCUCGGAACUGCCUCUGAUACUGUGGGUCUCGAGACCGGAAGAGGUGAGUGGAAUUCCUAGUGUAGAGGUGAAAUUCGUAGAUAUUAGGAAGAACACCAGUGGCGAAGGCGGCUCACUGGUCCGGUUCUGACGCUGAGGUGCGAAAGCGUGGGGAGCAAACAG
RNAcentral lists this ribosomal RNA (396 nucleotides) under uncultured bacterium. Its description in RNAcentral is "bacterial SSU rRNA". It matches the Rfam family "Bacterial small subunit ribosomal RNA", at positions 362 to 775 of the family's 1533-position model. The record is from RNAcentral.